AGGUGGGACAGAUGAUUGGGGUGAGGUCGUAACAAGGUAGCCGUAUCGGAAGGUGCGGCUGGAUCAAUCCCUUUCUAAGGAUAUUAUACGGAAUAUAAGACCUUGGGUCUUAUAAACAGAACGUUCCCUGUCUUGUUUAGUUUUGAAGGAUCAUUCCUUCGAAACGUGUUCUUUGAAAACUAGAUAACAGUAGACAUCACUUUCAAUUAGUAACACAAGAUAUCACAU
This 228-nucleotide unclassified non-coding RNA is filed under the name Bacillus subtilis. RNAcentral describes it as "partial contains 16S ribosomal RNA and 16S-23S ribosomal RNA intergenic spacer". The stretch from base 1 to 74 matches the Rfam family "Bacterial small subunit ribosomal RNA", at positions 1460 to 1533 of the family's 1533-position model. The record is from RNAcentral. Lineage: Bacteria; Bacillati; Bacillota; Bacilli; Caryophanales; Bacillaceae.